Long non-coding RNA from Cyprinus carpio carpio, 1024 nucleotides. The record is from Ensembl. NCBI's taxonomy places the organism in Eukaryota, Metazoa, Chordata, Actinopteri, Cypriniformes, Cyprinidae.
AUAUUAAUAAUAUCUCUCCAUAUGUGGUAAAACUGUUUAGUUUUAAUGAAAUGUGUCUAGAAAUGUAUGUUGUAGAAGUCAGACAUUAGGUUUCUUUAUCUGUACUCCUUUUGCACGUGUACAUUAUCACCCUUUUUAAAGCAAUUAAUCUCUUGUGUCUUCCAGCGUGGAUGUGCCUAAGACAGACGAAAUUCCAAUUAAAUUCCUGCUGCGGGUCGGUUUAAACAGACCGUUAUGAAUAUGUGAGCUGACUCUUUACCACACACAACAAAAGCUCUUUCCCUCAAAUACAGUCGCUUAUCUUUGCUCUUAUUUUCAAAGAAUUCAUCCGCUUGUGUUAAACUGUGUGCUUUAGGAAUAUACGGCUUUGCUCUUCUUCGGACAAUCGCUGUAAAACCAUAACAAAACGCGAUGGCAAAAGGUUUAAGCAGACAAAUGUAAUGUGAACAUUCAGUUUCUGAGCAAUCUCUGUGGGAUUAUAAAUGAUAUGAGGAUGUGAGAUACUUCGGAUACUUUUUGAUAUGGGGAUGUAUUGAAUUCCUACAGAAUUAACUUAACCCCUUGUUUCCUAAAACAAAUAGGCUAGUGGUGAAUGCCUUGCAAUAAUAAAGUUUAACUAAUAUCCCUGGUUUGUUUUUUCAUGGUACAUUGUGUCUUUAAACCAUAUAAAACUUAUCCACAAAGAUGGCUUGCAAAUCACGCUGUUAUCGUAACUAAAGCCUAUACGUUAUUUUACAAACCGGCCCAUCCGCGUUGGCCCAUCGCAUUAUUAGAGCUUCAGUGCAUCGAUUACAGGAGCUGUCCGGCGUCAGGUGUCGCUGAUAUGUAAAAGAAUGGGUCUUUCUAACACGAAAGAGUGAAAAUACUGCUUAAUAUGGAAAUCUUGUCGAAGUGUUGAAAUGUAUUAAGUAUUUCUGAAUUUAAUAGAAUAAACUAUUAUCGCUUUGGAAAGACAUUGUCUCAGACUCAAAUUUUACAGAUGUUAAUGAAAAUGUUAAAAUAUUUUAUAAAUAAAUUCAUUUAC